Molecule: non-coding RNA, 637 nt
Organism: Anas platyrhynchos (mallard)
Lineage: Eukaryota; Metazoa; Chordata; Aves; Anseriformes; Anatidae
Source: RefSeq, a predicted model, not a curated record
UUGGGGGCUCACAGGGGGGCUGAGAGGAGCCUUUGGGCUCACACCUCCCACCCGCAGCUCCCUGUGGGCUGUGGGGCUGGCGGGCAGGGUGCUCCUCAGCCCCCGUAACGCCGCUGCGCCCCUCUCCCCAGCAGCCCAGGACACCUACUGGGCCGGCACAGCGCCCAUCUGCCUGGGGGGCUGCAAGGGGAAGCACAAGGAGCUGAAGAGGAGCCAGUGCGGGGCCGGCAGCUGCUGCUGGCUGGGCUACAAAUCCUUCUGCCGAGUGAACUGCGGGCAGGCCCGAGGCUGACUUCAACUCCCUGGUGCACGGCAACGACUGGUGGGUGGGCUCGGUGGUGCGCUACAGCUGCCGGCCCGGCUACCUGCUGCUGGGGGACCCGGCCAGCGCCUGCCAGCCCGACGGCCGCUGGACCCCAAAGCCCACCUGCCUCCGGAUCUGCCUGCGAGGCCGGAUCGAGCUCAGCGAGCGGGAGGUGUCCGGGGGGUGCUCCUCAGUCCUGCGGCACCCUGAGCCACCUGGGGUCCCCCUCCCCGGCUCGGGGCUGCGUCAAGAUCUCCGCCUGCGUCCCCAAACGCCCGGGCUGGGCGCGUUGGUUCCUGCGCUGUGACCGCUGCGAGUGCGACUGCUACGUCC